UACGGAGGAUGCGAGCGUUAUCCGGAUUUAUUGGGUUUAAAGGGUGCGCAGGCGGAUUUUUAAGUCAGCGGUCAAAUCGUGGGGCUCAACCCCAUCCAGCCGUUGAAACUGUGUCCCUUGAGUGCGCGAAGGGUAGGCGGAAUGCGUGGUGUAGCGGUGAAAUGCAUAGAUAUCACGCAGAACUCCGAUCGCGAAGGCAGCCUACCGGCGCGCUACUGACGCUCAUGCACGAAAGCGUGGGUAUCGAACAGG
This 252-nucleotide ribosomal RNA is filed under the name uncultured Bacteroidales bacterium. RNAcentral describes it as "partial 16S ribosomal RNA". It matches the Rfam family "Bacterial small subunit ribosomal RNA", at positions 524 to 776 of the family's 1533-position model. Lineage: Bacteria; Pseudomonadati; Bacteroidota; Bacteroidia; Bacteroidales. The record is from RNAcentral.